UUUGUAAAAUUCAAUUGAAUUCUAGUUGAAAUUCAUUUGAAAUAAAUUAUAUUGAUCGGUAUGAAUUGAAUUUGUUUGGUAGAAAUUGAAAAUAGAAUAUAGGAAGUUUUAGUUUUUGAUAAGGGUAUUUUAGUUUUUGUAAGUUUUGUGGAGUUCCAUUAUUAAAUUUGAUGUAAUAGAAUUGAACCAAACAAGCUCUUAACCAAUUCAAUUGAAUUCCACAAAAAUUUAUGAAAUGGGAUUAUUUUAGAUCAUUUUCGCUGUUGACUACAUGGUUUUCUCUCUCUCUCUGCCUCCCCUGAAUUUUGGAUGAGGGGUCAUGAUUCAUGUUUUGGACUUAUGUUUUUGAGGUUUUCUAUUUUUUGCUUUGAAAUUUAUGGAUCUCUUAGACUGGGAUUUUUAGGAUUAUUGUGUGAUGAGGUAGAUCAGACUGAAACCUACAUUUUUGCUUGAAUAUGAUAGCUAAUCUGUUUUAUUUAUUAGUCUUUCGUUUUAGAUCAGGUUUAUUAGAAUUAAAGAGGUGUGUUUUCUUAAGGUGGUAGCUGUUUUACAGUAGUUGGGGGGUUCUUAAAUGGUUUAUUGAUAUGAUUCUGUUUUCUGUUCUAGUUUUUGUAUCUUAUGAUGGAGAUUUAGAUAAGAUCGGCCUAGUAGUUCUCUGAAAGUUCUGGUUUUUUAGUUAAUGGAUGAAAUAAAAUAUACUGAAGUUGCAUGAUUAUCAUUUUAGACAUGCCUGAUCGAAAAAUAUAGAGGUUAUUUUCUAAUCAGUUUAAAGAUGCAAAAACCAGAAUUUUGAGGUUUUAUAUUAGAUAAUUAAUCGUUGGUAAUAUGUCAUGGUGUUUCUAGUUUCCUAAUUUUAGAUCUUGA
RNAcentral lists this unclassified non-coding RNA (864 nucleotides) under Hevea brasiliensis (rubber tree). The record is from RNAcentral. Lineage: Eukaryota; Viridiplantae; Streptophyta; Magnoliopsida; Malpighiales; Euphorbiaceae.